CCGCUUCCCAGUUUCUCUCUCCAGGGCACAUCUUCCGGCCCGCUCGCCCUCUGCUAGAAAUAGGAAAAUGCUAUAAUAACACAACACAAGAAAAAAAAAAUGAAGCAACUUUGAUCACGCAUGCUCCCUUGGCGUCCACCUCUUUUUUUCCCCCCCACAACAUUUCUCCUAAGUUGGAAAGUCAAGGAAAGCCCGAGCGAAGUGUUGUCCACAGUUAAACCAAUCAUUCGGGGAAAGCCAUCUCAUAUUUAAAAUGCCUGUGGUAUCAAGGUGAAGGGAUCAGCAGGCAGAGAUGUAAGUGUGUGCAGUGUUUCUGCAUGAAGACAGACGGGAAGACAGGAAGAGGAAGUGAUCGACAGAUAGAGCUCCAUCCAGCUGGACACAACAAGAUCUAUGAUGUAUGAUCCAGCUGCACUGCUGAGGAACAAUAGUCUACUUAUAAUCUAUCAUGAUGGUGUCACAGGAUUUGAGGAAAUCUUUUCAUUCUUGCUCUGUCCUCUUCUGGCUUAAAAACUCCCACAGAUUCGCUCCAUAGACGUGAUGACAGAGAAGAAACUAUUUUUGAUUUUCAAAGCAACUUUUUGUUUGACGGGUUUUAGUGGUGCCACAGAGAAUUAUAAAAUACUAAAUAAAUGUUACUAUUGUGCGUAAGGAUCUUUGUGAAGGGAAAAUCAGUCACAGGAUCCUUAUAAGUACAGAUUUUUUUAAUUACAGUUCAAAUAUCAGGCACAUUAUUUAAACAUAAAAAUUUGCAUGAUAUUUGUUGGGGAUAUAAUUGUUUUUUUUUCUCCUCUAACUUUCCAAGAAAGAAAAAGAAAGCAAUUGUUAUUAGAUUUAAGUUGAUAUUAACUCCAUGGACCAACAAAUCUAUAAAAAAAAUCCACAAAAAAUUCGAAUAACCUUGAAAACCACUGUGAUUUCGAACAGGAUAACAAAAUCACAGAAACUGGAGUAAGGUCCCUGGACCCCACAUUGAGAACCACAGCUUUAGGAACACAAACCAGUUCUCAAAGUGGAAUAGUCACAUGAUCAUUCAGCAGUGCCAGGACUCUAUGUUUUACUGACGCUGCAGUUUAUGCAGAGAUCAUAUUAAAGUUUUUAUUAUCCUUGUUAUAGUCAUCAAGUUGUUUUACGCUGUAUAAACUAUAGUCUAAUUGGGCCACAAGAACUGAUGUUUAAUCUAAGCACAAAAAAAUGUGUCAUUUUUAAUAAAAAAUUUGCUGAUAAUUUGAACAUUUUGAAAAAUCUACAAAUUGUAAUGUUGUGAUAUUGGGUUGUUUGGGAGUUUUGAAAUAAAACAUGAACAUAUACAAGAUAAAUACAAAUGA
This is a long non-coding RNA of Hemibagrus wyckioides, 1328 nucleotides long. RefSeq lists it as uncharacterized. Lineage: Eukaryota; Metazoa; Chordata; Actinopteri; Siluriformes; Bagridae. The record is from RefSeq and is a predicted model, not a curated record. The transcript is spliced from 4 exons.